CGGGGGUAGGGCAUGAUCCGACCCCUGGGAGCCUCAGUUUCUUCAUCUGUGCGUGUGUGUUGCUAUAAUCACACGGCGCAGGGUUGCUCUGCGGCUGAAAGAGCUCCUGCACCUGAAUGGCAGCUCCACAAAGGCUGGGACCUGGUCUGUCUUGUUCAUCAGUGUAGCCCCUUGGUGUAAAAUAGAGCUUGGCACAUUGCAGUCACACAACAUAUAUUGGUGGAGUGGGUCCCGUGUGGCAGCGGCAAGUGCGGCUUCCUCACUCUGAGCCUUUCCUCACCAGGAACUCUCUUUAUGACAAUUCCUGCAUAUCAGGUGGUCUUGUCUCCUUGCCCAGGCUCAGUUCCAUCUGGCUGGCCAUGGUCACUGCCUCUCUUAGGAUGGAUUCCCCAAGAAGCCGACUUGCGGACCCUCUUGGCACACUGGAAGCCCUGACUGUGUCCAGGGCCCCACCUCACUGGUGUGCACAGGAC
Molecule: long non-coding RNA, 473 nt
Organism: Neomonachus schauinslandi (Hawaiian monk seal)
Lineage: Eukaryota; Metazoa; Chordata; Mammalia; Carnivora; Phocidae
Exons: 4
Source: RefSeq, a predicted model, not a curated record